Molecule: long non-coding RNA, 2340 nt
Organism: Hippocampus comes (tiger tail seahorse)
Lineage: Eukaryota; Metazoa; Chordata; Actinopteri; Syngnathiformes; Syngnathidae
Exons: 3
Source: RefSeq, a predicted model, not a curated record
UUUAUUUUUCCCAAAAUAGUGUCGGGGUUUUUUUUUUUUUUGGUUUGUUUGUUUUUGCUGCCGUCGGUGUCAUCUCGGUAGUCAUUAUUCCGUCAUCAAAAUCCAGGGUGGACAAAGGCUCUUGAUGUUUUCCUGAUGCAAAAAUAACAACGCACUCAAACGAGCAAAAAAACGGCAAUCUCAUUUUCAUGCAGAGAUGUAAUUAGUGUCCACAGCCUCGAUUUCCCAGGAGAUGACGACGGCGGGCCAACACACGCUACUAAUCCUCAAAUACCUGACUCACAGUUUUAAUUAACUGUUGUCACAUCCUGCCAACCCAUCCGGACGCACUUCUGGCCCCUCCAUCCAAAGAGAGCCGAAGCUUUAUCGCAUCAUGAGGGAAAAUAGACGAAACUGGACUGAGUAGGAGGGAGCAGACCCUUGCCGUCCAACAACAACAUUAAGAACACUGCAAGAAAAACACAGUGGUGCAAUCGGUGUGUCUCUUCUCAAGUUGGAGGUGAGGGGCCGGGCACCAAAUUGUUUGAUUCGCUUUCGUGUUUGUUCAGAAACUUCCACUUGAAAUGUCAAUCAACAGCUUGACUCAAGCACAGGUUGAUUCUUUCUCAAGAGCUGUGAGGACCACAUGGUCAGGGAGAACAAAAUUAUCUUACCAGUGUCAGACGGGGCCAAGAUGUAUCGGGUGUCGUAGUAUUCGAGCAUUUUUAUACAUUUGAGUAACUGACUUACAGUAUCGGCACAGCCACUUGCCGAUUUUUUUUUUCUUAUCACCUGCUGAGUCGCUCACGUUCUAAAAUCCAACCACCCAUCCAUUGUCUUUACCGCCGAGUCCAGUUAAAAAAAAAUCAGUUUGUGUGCCCAGCUUUUGAAUCGUCAUCACUUUUCUUCCCCUGAGUUUGAGCCAGAUUUUGUCACACGUCGCUUGUGUCAGACGACACUCUCUGCUGACGGGCGUGCUUUAUGAUCAUGACAAGAGCUGAGAUAUUUGAGAUUUGCACUCAGAAGAAAGCUUGUGUUCAUCAAUUUGGAAAAAAAAAGGAAAAGAAGUUUCUCUCUGCCCAACAAAAAAAAAAGACCCCCAAUCUGCUUUGGAUGGUGAACCACUGCAUCAGCAACUUGUCUUUGAGAUCAAGCUCUAAUCUCGCCGCCUUCUCCUCAAUCGCAUUAGAGUGACUGAGCGUGAGAGUGUUCUUUCACUUGAAUGCAGAAUGUACGCUGAUGCUGCAGGGGGGAGGGGGGGUCCUAUGACAGUGACUGACUCUCCCUGUGUUUGAGCUGUCAUUGCAGGUGCAGGCAAGGCGGGGGGGAGGGGGGGUCAACCUGCUCAGUGCACAUCAUCGCACCAACCGGUCAUAAAAGAAAAACAACCAGAUGACGAUUCUCAACAUCUGUUGCAUGCUCCCGUCCUGUUUUCCAACCACAGCCCCCCCCCCAUCCCCCCAAAUCCUGUCAGAGCGUGUCCGUAUCCUGGCCAACCACUGGCUCAACCCCCAUUGCCCGUUCCCCCGUCUUCCCCGCCUCAUGUUGAGUUUGGAAAUCCACAACAAAACACCUGGGGUGUCUCCUCAGGACAAUAUGUGCUACUUCUGGGGGUUGUGAUGUCAUCCUCCCACAACGGCGCUGUGCUUUCACACCAGAGUGAGUCACAUAGCUUGAGCUCUUCACCGUGUGUGUGCGGGGCACGAGAAAUACUUUGAAUUCCGUAUAUGCCUCUACCUCUUCCCCGAACGUGUCAGGGAAAAGGUGCCUCUGUACAUCUCGACAGAGAGAGGCUUGAGCUUGGAAAAAUUCUGACAGCCACUGAGAUGUUUUGAUGCCCUCACGUGGCAUGUGCAGCGCCAGAGAUGCACUCCGGUCCAAGUAAGUAAAAGAGUCUUAAAGGGAUUCAUAAGUAAUGCAUAGCCCAGGCUUGUAAUGGACUUGGCGCAAUGCCGCUCAAACCCACACGGGACUGUUUCCCGACUCGCUCCUCUUGGCCCAUGAAGAAAUAUUUUAUCCGUCCAUUCAAUUUCUUCAGGGUUUGUUCUCGCCAUAGACCCGUGGGUGAACAGGAUUCAGCGGAUUUUUGGGAUAGAGGCGCCCCAAACCGGUCGGCAGCCACCCAGAAGAAAUAUUCAUAUACAGUAUUGUAGGAGUACGUGUUGAGUUGACCUGACUUAUUGUUCAGAUUUUUUUUCCAGAAAUGUCAACGGUAUGCAGUUCUGAGAAGAUUGAAGCAUCACUAUUAAAAACCUUGCUGCACUUCUUCGGAAUAAGCAUAUGCCGUGAUGCGUGGCACCCAUCCAGAAAGAAGCAAAUGCAGCUUGCCAUACUGAGGUCUGGCAAGAAUUCUGAAGAGUG